This 753-nucleotide long non-coding RNA is filed under the name Gossypium barbadense (sea-island cotton). Its description in RNAcentral is "long non-coding RNA (GBAR_LNC004585)". The record is from RNAcentral. Lineage: Eukaryota; Viridiplantae; Streptophyta; Magnoliopsida; Malvales; Malvaceae.
ACUUCACUGCUGGCUUGCGCUUAAUGUCAUAAAUUUUGCAUGAUUUUCUCAACUCCUUAUUCCUUCUUCUCUGUCUAUUCUUUCUCAUGCUCCUGCUCCAGUUCUUGUUCAUGCUUUCUACUGCUCAAGCCUCAAGAGAUUAUUUUCAUGGAGCCGCUGAUCCCUUUGUGCCUCCUUGAAACGUCCAAAGAAGAACAUCAGUAUUCUGGCUUUCAUCACAAGUAUAAAAUCAACAGGAGUUUAAGGGUGCUAUCCUUGCUGAGCUUUUUUGAAUUUUUAUUAUUAAUAUUUUUCUUUUAAUUUUUCUUGACCUUGCAAGACUUUUUAAUUCUUGUGUUAAGAUAUGUAAGGUUUUUAUUUUUGUUUUUCUUUUUUAUUUUUCUUUUUAUCUUGAUCAAUCCUCCCAUCUUUCUUUUUUGUCUCUAUUCCUCCUGAGCUUUACUGAAAUAAAAAAAUUGAAUAUCUCUUUCUAAUGUUGUACUAUAUAAAUUACUAUUUUUCUUGUAAUUGCUAUCCGUGCUUUUGAAUAUCUCUUUCUGUAUUUUGCUAAAACUACAAAUAUAUUGGCUCGUCUUUGAGAAGUGGAGGAUGCCUUUUUUCACUUUUUAGUUUACAAUGCUUGAAGGAUGCUCACUGCAUGCCCAUGAUCAGGACCUCGAUAAUGAUGUCGAAAUUACUCCUUAUGUGAGACAUAACUUAGAUGGAAUAAAAUAUAUGCCCUAUAAAGUUUAAGAGAAGAAAGAUGUAGAAGGU